UACGUAGGUGGCGAGCGUUGUCCGGAUUUAUUGGGCGUAAAGCGCCCGCAGGCGGCUUGGUAAGUUUCAGGUGAAAUCUCCUGGCUUAACUGGGAGGGGUCCUGGAAAACUGUCAGGCUUGAGGCAGGGAGAGGGAUGUGGAAUUCCCGGUGUAGUAGUGAAAUGCGUAGAUAUCGGGAGGAACACCAGUGGCGAAGGCGGCAUCCUGGCCCUGUCCUGACGCUCAGGGGCGAAAGCGUGGGGAGCAAACCGG
This 253-nucleotide ribosomal RNA is filed under the name uncultured bacterium. RNAcentral's name for it is "partial 16S ribosomal RNA". It matches the Rfam family "Bacterial small subunit ribosomal RNA", at positions 524 to 776 of the family's 1533-position model. The record is from RNAcentral.